Molecule: ribosomal RNA, 253 nt
Filed under: uncultured bacterium
Lineage: Bacteria
Description: partial 16S ribosomal RNA
Rfam family: Bacterial small subunit ribosomal RNA
Source: RNAcentral
UACAGAGGGGGCAAGCGUUAUUCGGAAUUAUUGGGCGUAAAGGGCGCGUAGGCGGCUUUGCAAGUGGCGGGUGAAAUCCCUCGGCUUAACCGAGGAACUGCCUGUCAAACUGCAUGGCUUGAGACCAGGAGAGGUGAGUGGAAUUCCCAGUGUAGCGGUGAAAUGCGUAGAUAUUGGGAGGAACACCGGUGGCGAAGGCGGCCCCCUGGACCGGUACUGACGCUGAGGCGCGAAAGCGUGGGUAGCAAACGGG